Molecule: transfer RNA, 77 nt
Filed under: Bacillaceae bacterium
Lineage: Bacteria; Bacillati; Bacillota; Bacilli; Caryophanales; Bacillaceae
Also listed under: 3 other names
Description: tRNA-Ile
Rfam family: tRNA
About the family: Transfer RNA (tRNA) molecules are approximately 80 nucleotides in length. Their secondary structure includes four short double-helical elements and three loops (D, anti-codon, and T loops). Further hydrogen bonds mediate the characteristic L-shaped molecular structure. tRNAs have two regions of fundamental functional importance: the anti-codon, which is responsible for specific mRNA codon recognition, and the 3' end, to which the tRNAs corresponding amino acid is attached (by aminoacyl-tRNA synthetases). tRNAs cope with the degeneracy of the genetic code in two manners: having more than one tRNA (with a specific anti-codon) for a particular amino acid; and 'wobble' base-pairing, i.e. permitting non-standard base-pairing at the 3rd anti-codon position.
Source: RNAcentral
GGGCCCUUAGUUCAGCUGGUUAGAGCAGUCGGCUCAUAACCGAUUUGUCGGGGGUUCGAGUCCCUCAGGGCCCACCA